RNAcentral lists this long non-coding RNA (19727 nucleotides) under Gossypium barbadense (sea-island cotton). Its description in RNAcentral is "long non-coding RNA (GBAR_LNC019244)". Lineage: Eukaryota; Viridiplantae; Streptophyta; Magnoliopsida; Malvales; Malvaceae. The record is from RNAcentral.
UCUGAAUUUGGAGGAUUUUGAACAAUACUUAGAUCUCGCAAUCUUCUUCUAGGCAUUUUAUCUGCAAUACACAUAAAAUAGUUGAAUUUUUAGUAACUAAUUACAAUAAUAAUAGUACAUAUAGAAUAGUUAAAAUAUUUAACAAGAUCAAGAUUUAAAUUAUAAUAUUACAUAUAAUUAAAAAAUCAUAAAAUCUUACUACAUCAUAAUUCGUAAAUAUUUUCAUCCACAUCCUGGCGAACCCAUUGAAAUUGUGUACUAAUACUAGGGAUAGUUUCAUUUAAGUUUUGUUCUGGAAAAGGUAAAGUUUCUGAUCUUUCGCCGAUGUCAUCUCUACUUCUAUUGCCCAUGUCAAACAAGUCUCUAUGGGUGUUACGGAGUACAACGUACCAACCCUCAUUAGUUGGAUCUUUCGAGUAAAAAACAUGUUUCACUUGAGAAUAAAAUACAUACGACUCGUCUAUCAAUUGUUGUCCAGUGUGAAUUAAUCGAGAGAAGUUCACCAUUGUAAAACCAAAUUGAUCUUUUUUUAAUUUCACGAGCAAUAUUAACAUCAGCUCAAUCACAUCAAAAUAAGACAACCUUCCGUUUGCCAUAGUAAUCCAACUCAAUACUGCCAGUAAGAAGCCCAUAAUACUCCACAUUUCCCUCAGCAGGAUUACUGUCCCUAGCACUAGCAUAACUUGUAAUUGAAGAAUUAACAACUAUUCUACAAUUUUGAGUCCUCCUCAAUCUUUCGCGAGAUUUUGUAUGAAACCUGAAUCCAUUGAUGAGGAAGGCACUAUAUCUUUUUAUUACUCUAUUCAGACCUUGGCAAAGCCAUUUAACUUCGUCAUUGAUGUCCUUUCCACUCCAAACCUAUUAAAUCGAAAGUAAAUUGAUUAAUUAUAAUGGUUAUAAGAAAACAUUAUUAUUUGUCAAUGAAAGCUUUAGUUGCGUACCAUUUGCCAUAACCAUUCAUGAAAAUAUUUUGUGAAUAACUUAUGAAUCUCUCGAUGUUGUAAUCUUCAGGAGCGUGAAUGAGAUCUCGAGACUUGUUUGUACUCGCUAUGUUAAAAAGUGGAUUACUUGGUUAGAAGAUAAACAAAUAAAAAAGAUGAAUAUUUAUCAAAUUCUAAAACUUACUUGAUUAAUAGUUUAAUUAAAUCGUGGUGAAAAAGAACAUAUCGAUGUGCUUGUACCUAAGAUCUAUCAUCUAGGUGUGCAAUUUCAACUUUACAUAUUGGUUCUCCAUAACUUCGAAAUAAAUAAGUUUCGGCUAAGUUACGAUUAGUGAGCCCAACAUUUCUACUUGGUAUAUUCAGUCUUGUUUCAAUAUCUUCUAAAUAUCUAGAACAGAAAGUCAUACACUCCUCUGCCAAGUAACCUGCAGCAAUUGAUCCUUCUGGGUAACGAUUAUUACAACAAUAAGACUUCAAUUGGCAUAGGAACCUAAACAUGAUAUACAACAUUAUCAAAAGUUGUAACUAAAGGUAUAUUCAUGAAUGAAUGAAAACUUUACAAAUAAAUUAGCACCUCUCUAUAGGAUACAUCCACUGAUAGAAAACCGGUCUACCAAGUUUUGCUUCAUGAGUGAAAUGAAUUAACAAGUGCACCAUAAUAGUGAAGAAAUAAGGUAGAAAGAUCUUCUCCAAAUUGCAUAAAGUCAAUGCGGCUCGAUCUUGUACUUUUGCAAGUUCUUCAACAAUUAAAACUUUGCCACAAAUAGCUUUCAUUAUAUUAGAUAGUUCAAUUAUACAAGACGUCACCUUUUUUUACAUACAACACUGUAAAGCAACUAGCAGUAAAUCUUGCAUCAAGAUGUGAUAAUCAUGUGAUUUUAGGGAAUAUAGUCUUCGAUCUUUAAGACUCACACAUCGAGAUAUAUUUGAUGCAUACGCAUCUGGGACCUUUAUAUCUUUCAACACCGUACAGAACACUUCUUUUUCUUUCUUCGACAUUGCAAAAAUAGAAGGCGUUAACUGAUAUUUCUCAUUCAGAAGUGCUUAGGGAUGAAGAUCACAUCGAAUUCCCAUGUCAACUAGAUCAACUAGAAUUUGAAGAUUGUCUUUCUCUUUUCUAUCGACAUUCAGAAUUGUCCCAAUGAUGUUCUCGCAAACAUUCUUUUCAAUAUGUAUGACAUCAAGAUUAUGUCGUAAAAUGUGAUGCUCCCAAUAAGGUAACUAAAAAAAAUACUUCUUCUUUUUCUACAAGUCCGCCUCAUUAGGAUCAUCCUCUUCAGCAGAUUCAUCAUCAAUCUGCCGGUCAACAUCGCCAACAUACACCUCCCUCGGUCUUCUAUUUGUUUGCGUGUUGGGUGGUUGAUCCAUCUUUUCAUAACUGAAAUUGAUAUCUUUUAACAUAAGCAAGAUUUCAGAUCUAAUGGUUUGCUUAGGAGCUUCUCUGAACUCUUCAGUACCAUCAAAUAAAGUCCUCUGAAAUUUAAAUCUAUAAUUUCCAUCUAACCACCGAUGAUGCCCCAUAUAAGAUAACUUUUUCCCAUUAUAUAACCACUUCGAACAUGUUUGCGCCACAUAACAAGGACAAGCAUAACACCUUUUGGUACUCCAACCAGAUAAAUUGGCAUAAGCCAAAAAAUCAUUAAUAGUCCACAACAAAGUUGCACGUAAAUAAAAGUUCUCCUUUUUUAAGCCAUCAUAUGUUUCUACACCUGCCCAUAAUUGUUUCAACUCUUCAAUAAGUGGCUGCAUAUGUCACGGGGCAAAGUGCAAAGCCCGUGACCAUGGCACAAGAAGUGCCCCAUGGAGGUCCAUUGAUAAGAUGGGGAACAUUUAGCCCACGAGAACUGGCCUGAUUCAAGGAAUUAUUGGAGAAGCCUGUCAGAUUGAAGCCUGGUUGGCCCAAUGAUGAAGACAUGGCAACUUAGGCUAAUUUUGGUAACUAAUCUUAAAAGAUAGAGAGAAUCAUAUCUUGUAAAGAUUAGAUUAGAUUUGAUAUGACAAAUCAUGUAAAUCCCUAACAUCAAGGGACAUAAUGAAUCUCGUCCGUCGAUGUAAAUGUAUCUUGACCUUCAGUUUUGAGGGAGCUCAACUAUAAAUAGAGAGCCUCCCCCUCAUUUGUAAUCAUCCCUUGUAAGGUGAAUUCUUAAGAGUAAUAGAAUUCCUGGGCAUUUACUCAAACACUUUGUUUGCAAUCUUUCUUUAGCUUUCUGUUGUUCUUUUGUGGCUUUUUUUGGCUAAAUCGCUUCCGCUACACAAAUCGGUGCCUUGGAGGAGUUCUUUAAAAGAAUCCUCACUUUUGGGUGUUAAGGCUGACUUGGGCGAGUUUGGACGAACAGAUUGCCUAAGGCGGCACGGAUUGCAGACGAAAGGUCUAGCCCCGUGACAAGUGGUAUCCGAGCAGGUUUUGAACCAAGUGAUAUUCGAGUUGGUUCGAAGGCACCGUUGGGAUGUCGAAAGAAGUCAUCGGUCAGAGUGAACCAAUGGAGACCCGUGGGAGGGCCAGAAAAUCCAGUCGCUCGAGGGAAAUGCUGACAGCUUUGGAAAAUCGAGUGGUGAAUCUCGAGGAAUCCAUCGGGAACGUGAAAGAGACGCUUGAAUUGGUCGAGGGACGCACGGAUGGGUUUGACUCAAUGGAGGAGCAACUCAGAGAUUUUGUGUUGGAUUCUCUCGAUGCCAAUAAGGAAAAGAUGAAUGAUUUACUCGAGUCCACUGCGGGAAAGCUGGCAGAGAGGGAUGAGUAUCUCGAGGAUAUGGUGUUAGCCAUGAAGAAAGAAAUAGAGGAGCUCAAAGGGGAGCUCGCGAUCUACAAAGCCGCUUUGAGUAAUGGGAUGUUGUCUUCAAGACCGAAACAACAAGCAAUAGAUGUUCCCACCGGAAAAGUUUAAGGGUGCACGAUCCGCAAGGGAUGUGGACAACUUCUUGUGGGAAAUGGAGCAAUAUUUCUAAGCGAUGGGCAUCGAGGAUGACGCCAUUAAGGUAAAUACAGCUUCAAUCUAUUUUACUGAUGUAGCUCUCUUGUGGUGGCGUCGUAGGUCCACGGAUGAGAAACGUGGUGGGAACGCAAUUGGGACUUGGGAGGAGUUCCAAAGAGAUUUGAAGAAGCAGUUUUACCCUCAGUUUGCCAAGAAGGAGGCUCGUGCAAAGUUGCGUCGUCUCACGCAACAAGGCACUGUUCGGGAGUAUGUUCAGACAUUUAGCGAGUUGAUGCUUCAAAUCUCCGACUUGAGCGAGAAAGAAGCAUUCUAUUGGUUCGAGGAUGGGUUAAAGCCGUGGGCAAAGCAGGAGUUGCGAAGGAAAGGAAUCAUUGAACUUACUGUAGCCAUGGUAGAAACAGAGUCCUUUGUUGAGCUUGGUUCAAGAGGAGACAAGCUCGAGGCGUCUAAGCCCAACGGAAAGGGCAAUGGUGAGGGAAACCAUGAAGAAGAUGAGGAGGGACGUAGUGAUGAUGGCAACAGUACCGAUAGCAAAAGUGUAAUACCCCGAAAAUCUUUACAGUAAGAUAUUAUAUUUGAUAUAAUAAAAUAAGAAAAUAAAGCGUCAAAAAUAGGAAAUUUUGGAGUUAUGUCAACAUUGGGUCGUAUAUUAUGACAUAUUAGUUCAAGAAAGGAUUAAAUCGUAAAAGUGAAGGAUAUUUAGUAUAUUAAAUGAUAUGUUAUUAUUUUAAUAUUUAGUAUAUAUAUAUGUGUGUGGAAAGAAAGAUGAGAAUAAUCCAACCCACCAUCUUUUCCAUGCAAUUCACGUUAGAAGAGAAGAGAAGAAAGAAAGUUUUACUUUCUUUACAAUUUAGUCCUUCCACCAAAAAUUCAUCAUUUUUAUCUAGAAAUCAAAAGAAUUUUCAUAUCCAUCAAGAGAGAAAGAUAACAAGGAGACUAUGGGGAGCUAGAAUAUCAAGUUAGAUUCAAGAAAUAGAAGCGGAGGAGAGAGGAAAUCAAGUUAAAGAUUGAAAUCAAUAUGACAAGGUAAGUACAUCAAGAUUUUAAUAUAUUUUUAAGUUUGAUAUUAUUGAAAAAGCAUGGAAAUGAUGUUAAUGUAAAGUUUUUGUAUAUAUGGUCCUAUUUUAUUGAUAUGUUAGUGAAGAGAAAAUAAGAGAAAGUGAUGAGAAAUAGUGUAGAGAAAGAAAAUAAGGGUGUUAUAAACAUGGUAAUAAACAUCUUGCACUAAAAUGGUUUUGGCCAGUAACAGUGGGCUCACUUUGAAAAAUCACCAUCAAUUAUGAAAAUCUAAUUAGAGUAUGAAUAAAAUAUUUAAUUAAAGCUUAUUGAGUCUAGUUUCUCAUAAAAGAAACGGUGUAAGUAGUGGAAUUGUAAAUUAUGAGAUAUAAUAAAUUUUGUGAGACAAUGUCAGAUUGAAUUCGAGUUCCCCUGUUCUGACUUGGAAAAAUCAUUAAAAAUUGUAAAAAAAUAGUUAUGGGUUAUAAUUUAUAUUUCUAAAAUCCUUAAUUAGUCUAUUUUCAACAGAAACAAAUGGGGGCAUAAUCUGAAUUCUGAACAAAGAGAUAAUUAAUUUUUAGUGAAGAAGGGUCGGAAUUGUCAGACAGCAGAACAAAUGUGACUUUAAACAAUAAACUGUACUUAUUGGUGGAAGAAAAAAUUCUGAAAAUUUUAUGGUAACAAGGUAUAUGAGUCUAGUUUCAGGUAAAAUUAGCGGAUCCUAAUUUGGAGUUCCGUAGCUCAAGAUAAAAAUAAUUUAGUGGCUAUGACUCAAAUGGAUAGUUUUGAAUAAAUUUACAAGUAAAUUGUGAAAUCAUAGAUAAUGUUACUUAUAAGCAUGUAUUAUAAAUCAAGGAUGUGGAAUAGAGAGGAGGAGGAGGAAAAUAUAUAUAUAUAUAUAUAUAUAUGUAUGUAUGUAUAUAUGAAUAUUCAGUUAGCAUGGAUAACUUGCACGUUUUAGACUCAGGGACUAAAUUAAAUAAAAGUAAAACUUUAAGGGUAAAUUUGUAAAAAUUUCAAAAAGUGACCAAAUUGCAUGAAAUGAAUUUUUUUAUUAUUUAAAUUAUUAAAUGGAAUGAAAUAUAAAUUUAGAUCAAGAUUGGGUGAAAAUUUGAGAAAAAUAGAAAACUUCCAAAAUAUCCCUGAAUUUUGGUAUUUCUGCAAUUUAGUCUGAUAAGCUCGAAUGAGCUAUAUUCUGUAAUAAUUUUAAGUGAAGUGAAUGCUAUUUGGUAAUAAAAAUUAUAUAUAUGUGUGUAUUAUUAUUGGAAUUAAUUUAUUAUUGGUAAUAUGUAUAAUUAUUUGAUACAUUUAGCUGAUUAUCGGAAGCUAAAUUGAGUUGGAAGCUUGUUGGAGAUAUAUCACAGUAUCCAUUGGUUCUAUCGGUAAUUUUGGAUGAUUUGAUUCUGGUUAUAAUGGCAUGUAUAAGUUAAAUUGGUUAACGUUAACUCAUUAAUGUAUUGAUUUUGAUUGGUUAUAAAUAUGAAUGCUAGAUAAAAAUGAAAUGUCUGAAAAUUAAUUAGUAAACUCCGGUAAUGCCUCGUACCCUGUUUUGGUGUCGAAUACGGGUAAGGGGUGUUACAGAAAGUGGCAGUGGGAAACCACGAGAUGCGAAUCGGGGAUUCAACAACCCAAGGGACAAGAGGAAGAAGAUAAAAUGCUUCCUUUGUUAAGGACCACACAUGGCGCGGAAAUGUCUGAAUAAAGUGAUGGUUUCGGCAAAGAAAGAUGAGCCGAAGGAAGAGGCGAAGCCUACUGAGGGAAAGACAUCGAAAUUCAAUUCGAUGGUGCUCAUUCCUGGGAAGAGGAAUGGUGGCAAAGGGUUGAUGUUUGUGCUCAUUCCUGGGAAGAGGAAUGGUGGCAAAGUGCUCUUAUUGAUACGGGAGCAUCAGACUUGUUCAUGUCGGAAAAGGCUGCGAAGAAGCUUGGUCUGUCGAUUAGAAAAUCGAAUAAGAAGAUCAAGGUAGCAACUUUUGAGAAAGCCCCAACUGUUGGAGUAGUUCGUGAUGUGGAACUACAAAUCGGCGAAUAGAAGAGCAAAGAAGAAUUCGAGGUAAUCCGAUUAGAUGAUUACGAUUUUGUGCUUGGCUUAAACUUCCUUGUCAGGAUUCAGGCAACUCUGCAACCAUGGGCCGAUCAAAUCCAUAUUAUCACUGGUCCGUCAACAAAAAGUGUUGUGUCGGUGCAUCGGGAUGUGAAGGUUGGGACUAAGGUGUUAUCGUCAAUCCAACUAGUCAGAGAUGUUUCGUAUGGGAGAAACAUUAAUUCGUCGAAACGGAAUGCUACGAAAGCCCCUUCGGAAGUGUUAGUGGCGCAAGGGACCGAUAUGAAGCCUGCGGGAUCGACUGUGGAGCCGACACCUUUGGGAAAGGUGGGUUGUGCAUCGGGCUUCAAAGGAAAAGGAGCGAUGCAAAGACAGUCGAGACGAGUAAAUGCUAUGAGUAAGGUACAUUGCAAACACUCUGAUGGUGUUUUGAAUUCUGACUUGUUGGCUUGGCAAAGUCGUAGGGGCCCUUUCAAAGUUCAUAAGCAAGGAGGCAAAGGAACUGUGGGCGGGACGAAGCCGAGGUGUGAGAAUCGAGGGGAUUCCAACAGAAACAAGUCAAAAUUGAGGCAAGUUAAAAUAGAGACUUCUUGCCAGCAGAAUGUACCAACGAGUGCAACGGUUCAAGAUAAGAGGCGACGGAAGCCGAGGCAUAAGUUUCGAAGCAAGGGACAACCCGAUCGCAAGGCAAGUCGGGAAGAAGCCGAGGCAAUGAGAAAAGGUGAAUCAAGCUAGUGUCAUCCAGAAGUCGCAACGAGGGCGUUGCGAGAAUGGGUAGGGGAGAAUGUCACGGGCCAAAGUGCAAAGCCCGUCACCAUGGCACAAGAAGUGCCCCAUAGAGGUCCAUUGAUAAGAUGGGGAACAUUUAGCCCACGAGAACUGGCCCGAUUCAAGGAAUUAUUGGAGAAGCCUGUCAGAUUGAAGCCUGGUUGGCCCGAUGAUGAAGACAUGGCAACUUAGGCUAAUUUUGGUAACUAAUCUUAAAAGAUAAAGAGAAUUAUAUCUUGUAAAGAUUAGAUUAGAUUUGAUAUGGCAAAUCUUGUAAAUCCCUAAAAUUAAGAGAUAUAAUGAAUCUCAUCCGUCGAUGUAAAUGUAUCUUGACUGUCGGUUUUGGGGGAGCUCAACUAUAAAUAGAGAGCCUCCCCCUCAUUUGUAAUCAUCCAUUGUAAGGUGAAUUCUUAAGAGUAUUAGAAUUCCUGGGCAUUUACUUAAACACUUUGUGUGCAUUCUUUCUUUAGCUUUCUGUUGUUCUUUUGUGGCUUCUUUUGGCUAAAUCGCUUCUGCUAUACAAAUCGGUGCCUUGGAGGAAUUCUUUAAAAAAAUCCUCACUUUUGGGUGUUAAGGCUGACUUGGGCGAGUUUGGACGAACGGAUCGCCUAAGGCCGCACGGAUUGCAGACGAAAGGUCAACCCCGUGACACAUAUAAAUGUCAAUAUCAUUCCCAAAACCUUUCUCUCCAGGGAUAAUCAUAGAUAAGAUAAAAGAAGAUUGUUUCAUGCAAAUCCACGGAGGUAAAAUUGUAAAGAACAAGCACUACAGGCCAAGUACUGUACGAAGUACUCAUGAUUUUAUAAGGAUUAAAUCUAUUAGAUGCUAGCCCAAGCCUCACAUUCUGAGGAUCGCUUGCAAAGCUUGAAAAUUUACUAUCAAAUGAUUCCCAAGCUAAAGAAUCCGCAGGAUGCCUUAAUAAUCCAUCAUCGAUUUGUUGAUCAUGAUGUCACCUUAGAAACUCGGCUGUCUUUGAUGACAUGAAAAGCCUUUGAAGCCUUUGUAUUAGUGAAAAAUAUCGCAAAAUCUUUAUUGGCUUCUUUCUUGACUGUGCCUCACCUUCAUCCUCAUUCACAUCCUUUGUAUUUCUAUUCAUCCAACGAGAUUUACCGUAAACAUGACAAGACUGUUGGUUUUUCCGAUCACCCAAUACAACAUGUAGUCAUUUGGGCAACUAUGAAUUUUGUCGUACCCAAUGCCUAAAUCUUUUAUCAGUUUCUUUAUAUCUUUACAUGAAUGAGAGAUUUUUGCAAAUGGAAACAUAUCUCUCAAAAACUCUAACAGCAGUGUUAAAGAGUUUCCGGUCCACCCUCCCAAACAUUUUACGUAAAAAAGACGAAUGCAAAAGGACAUUUUUGAAAAUUGUAAUCCCUCAUAAAGUUCUUCAUCCAUUUCAUUAAGUAACUUGUAGAACUUCGCCGCUUCUCCAUUUGGCUCUUCAUUAGGUACACUUCUUCCCGUUUCGGUAAAAGCAUUUCCACCAAUAUCACAAUCAUCGGAUGCAAUAAUUUCAGGUGAAAACGAUUGCAAACCAUGACUGCGCAUAUUAAAUGCAUCCCGCAACAUAUCUUCCAUGUCACCUUCUCUAACAGACUGAUGAUAAGCAUUAUAAGGAUAAGCCGGGUUAAUGGUUGAAGAGGUUCUACAAGGUGUACACUCUCCAUAGAAAAUUCAUUUUUUAUACCCCCGAAUAAAGUCAUCAACAAUUAGAUGUUUGUAGACAACUUCACGAAUAUGCCAAUUGAUGUUGCCACACUUCUAACACAGGCAAAGAAUCAUAUUCUCUUGGCUUGCAUUUUGAAAUGCAAAAUUUAGAAAAGUUUGUACUCCAUUUCGAUAGUCGUUGCUUACCCUUGACAAAUUCAUCCAACUCUUACCUAUUUCGUUGUUCUUGAAAUCUAAAGUUGACAAUAAAUUAUGGUUAGUUAAGUGUUCUAAAUUGAUUUAAAUCAUAUCAUUGUACUAAAAUAGACAAUACAUAUCAAGUAUCUAAUGGGAGUAAACUAAUUCAGGUAAGUUGUUUAUUUAUAAGUAUAAUUAAGUUAUGUAAGUUAUGAUAUAUAUUUAUGUAAGUUAUGUAAGUUAUAAAAUUUGAACUUUAAACUAUAUACUUUUAAGGAAAUUUAUUUUUUAUAGAAUUAUUUUAUUCAUGAAAAAAGAAAGAAAAAUAAUUGGGUUAGAAUUUGGUACAUGAAACCCCACAAGCAAACUUAAAAAAUUCUCAUACACUGUGGUGGGAAAUGAGAAUAAAAAAAAUAAACAUUUCAUUUAAAAUCAAAGUGGUGGUCAUAUUGUAUGUCUAUGUCAGGGGUGUGGAUUACUGGAAUCCCAAAAAUAAAUAUUACCAUAUUUUAUUCAUUUAAAUUUCAUAUUAUUAUAUUAUUUUAUAAAAAAAUAAAAAAAAAAUUUGCUAGCUUUGUUUAAUAUUGUUUCAAUAAAGAAAACGUAAAUUGGUAGCAGUCCAAUAAAGUUAAGUUGAGGAGAACAUGAUUAUUUGAUUGCCCAUUUUAUGAUUCUUCAAAAUCAUAAGCCUGUCAUUUUAAAGAGAAAAAGAUAUGAAACAAUGACUACUCCUCCCAAAAUCCAAACCAAAUCAUCCAUACUUCAUGGAUCCAAUAUUUAGUUUGGUGAUUAUAACUUUUUUUUCAAAAAAUCUAAAACAUAAGUUUAGUAGAUUGAUUGAAUUUAAAAGAAAAAAAAACUUUUGGAAAUUAGUAUUUCAAGAUUUGGAUUUAAAUUUUUAAAAUAAUAUAAUUUGAGUAAUAAAUUAUUUAAAAAUAUAAUAUUCAUAAUUAUUUUUAAAAUUUAUGAAUUUGUUAGUAAUGAAUUUAAAACAAAGAAAGAAAGGAAGCAGAACUGUCUUACCUAAAACAAUGUGGAUUGAAACUAAGCAAAUUGGAUGACAGAAAACUAGAUGGGAAAUCUAAAGUAAGUAAAACGAUCCAAUAUUUGAAAGAAAAAUCAGAAAUUCAAUCUAUAACUUUACGCAUAAUACAAGACUAAUAGCAAAAUAAAACUCCAAACAUAUUUAACUACUAUCAUUUGGUCGAGACUAAAGUUUCAAAAUUGUUUAAAAUUAUUGGAGCUAAAUUUGACACUUACAGUAAAUAUAUAUAAAUCGAAAUCAAUAUAAUAUAGAAAAAAGAAAAACCUGAGAUCGUGCUCUCUGAAGUUUUUGUUCAAGUUGAGUUAACUUUAUUCUACUCGACUCUAGUUGUUGAACAUAUGUCUAUUUAAACAUAUAUAUAUAUAUAUGCAUCAGUUUAUAUGUUAUGGACACAUAAGUAAGAAACUACAUGCAAAUGUAUGUGUUUUUUCGGUGUAUGUCUUUUUUAUGUUACCUUCUUUCUAAGACGGCUUUUCUUUGCAGCUUCUCUGUUUUGAGCUAAACGCCUCAAUUGUUUUCACGUUGAGACUUAAUGAACUAAUCUAGACAAAAAAAAAUGUUACAAUCCCUAAAAACUAUUACCAAAUUAAAUAAAGGCUAAAAAAUAAAUUAAGCCCAUGGACAGCAAUGAAUUUCUGGAAAAGAAGCAAUAAUCAACUACUAAGCUAUUUUCCUACUAACAAUCAUAUCGUGGAGAAAAUAUAUUACUCAGUUUCUUUGGCUGAAAGAAAAAGGAACAUCACUGGUUAAAACCAAUAUUAUGAAGCAUAAUCCUACAUCCUGAUGAAAAAUGUCACUGCGUUUAUUGUCUCCCUCCCGAUUUCCACAAACCCCAACACUUGAUUAUCCUUCUCCAACUCUCAUUUAAUCCUUCCUAAUUUCCCCCUAAUUUAUAAAAUUCAUUCCAACCCACGCAACAGAUUCCAUUUUCCUUCCCACUACUGUAAAAGUAAUUUCACUAACUAUAGUUUUUUUUUUUUCGUCUAUAUAUAAGAAAAUCUAAUGUAUACACUUUUUCUCUAAAACAACAUUGAAGAAUGUUAGAAGAGAAUCGAAAGCAAGUCAGGGAGUAAAUUGUUUUUAAUAAAUGGCAUAUAAUCCAAUUUCAAAGAAGUUGUUUGACUUUUGUUAUCAAUUUUAAAGCAAGUCAGUGAAUAAACGUUAUAGAAAGCUCAGAAUUCAUUAAGUCUCCAAACAAGUAUAACAGAAAAAACUUAGCGAUUGGUUGCAGCAGACGAGUGCGACGGCGACGCAGGCGAUGCAGCAGAUCAGUUGGGAUUUUGAUUUGGGGAAAAUUUUUAGGGGAAAAAAAAGGUAUUUCUGUUAUAUGGGUUGGGAUAAAAUUGAGGAGAGCAAAACGAGUUGUUUCGUUUAAAACAAAAUAACCUUUUACGGCGUUUUUCACCUAGCGCCACUAAUGCCACUAAAAACGCUAAACAAAACGGCGUCGUUUUCUUUAAAGUAAAAUGAUUUUUUUUUGUGUUUUUCUCAUAAACACCGCUAAUGCCUUUGAUACUAAUAAAUAUUUAUAGUUAGAUUCAAUCCAAUAUAGUUGUGAAAUGAUAGCAAAACAAUGACAAAACAACACCAAAACAGUGGAAAUAGCAUCAUUUUUUUUUUGCAAAUUCGGGUCGGGCCUGGGCAAAAAAGCUUACUCGAGACCUGACCCGUUUAGAAAAUGGGCCUCAUUUUUUUGUCCAAACUCAUUUUUCGGGCUUAUAUUUUUGCCCAAACCCUCCCACUUUUUGAGUGGUCCGACCCAUGGUCAGGUAAGUGAGUGUUUUUUUUUAUUAUUAUUUCAAAGUUUCACACAAACUAAUUUAACAAAAAAGAAAAUUAACAAUGUUAAUAAUUAGACCUAAAUUUUGAAAUUUGAAAAGUGGAGGGACUAAAUUCUUAGAAAUAAAAGUACAGGGAUGAAAUUUAAAAUUUGUGAAGAGUACAGGGGCCUAUAGCAUCUUUUAACCUAUACAAAUAAUUUUAUUAUUUAAUUUUUUAAUAACAAAUAAAUAAUUUUAUUUAACAGUAAAGAAUACCAAUUUUAAUUAGAUUAUCUUUGUUGAAGAAUUAGAGAUAGAUUAUCUUAUUUUGUAUUAAUAAUGAAUACAUAUGUGUAUAUUCAAUGUAUAGUUGAACUUUUGUGUACAUAUUAAUUAAUAAGUAAUUAGGUGUAUCAAUUCGAAACAUUAUAUGUGUUGUAAAUGAUGAUAUUAAAGGCAACAAUAAUUCAUAUUGUUACUUUAGUUUUUCAAAAUAUGCAAUGAUUUUCUUUAUGUUGGUUAUCCAUAUAAUUUUAAACAACAAUCUAAAUACAUUGUUGCAAGUAAAAGGCAAGCAUAAUGUUUAAUAUAAUACAACACUUUUUAUGUUUGCUAUCUAGUACUACUUUAGUUAACAAUAUUUUAAACGUUACAAAUCAACUGUUGUCUAAAGUCAUUUUUGUUGUAGUGUAAGCACUAAGGCUUUAUAAGCUGGAAUAAUAACAUUAAGUGUAUAAGUGAACCCAAAAAAUAGAAGGUUCAAAAUCAAGGUAAUAGGAAAAACUCUGCAAAGUUUGGCUCGAAAGGCUCCAACCAUCUAAAGAAAUUGCCUAGGUCUUCCCUUGUCAUGCAUUUGGAACUACUCAUUCUAUUCAAGGGUAAUAAGCCAACAUGUAACAAUCCGUUUUUCAAUGGUGUCGGAAACAGUGGUACGGAACCACAAUUUCAACAAGUGAGUCUAUAAAUAUUAUUAUUUAAUAUUUAUGAUUCAAUUUCAAUGUGUUAGUGAAGCUUGAUCUGGUAAAUUCUACUAAUAGAAUGAUUAAUUUCAAUACUACUGAAAGUCAGUGGUUUUGGAAAAUGAGGUAUCAGGAUCUCAUUUCUAUAAAUCGAGCUUGUACAUAAUUUUAUUGAGUACUUACGGAGCUAUUAUAUAGGUUAAUUGAAGUUUGGUUUAGAAAUUUUAGUGAAUUGAUAGUUAAUUGAGGAAAAAGACUAAAUCAUAAAAAUUGUAAAACUUGAUCAUUAUUGAAUUUUAGUUGAUAAAAGGGUUAAUUAGGAUUUAUUAAGGGAUUUAAUCGGUAAAUUACCCAUUUUUAAGAUGGUGGGACUGUUGGAGCUUAAUUUGUUAUAAGUUUUACAUGUUAAUUUAAUAUUAAAAUAAAAAUAGUAAAGUUAAAACAUGAAACAUAAUGGUCUUUUUCUUCAUUUUUAUUUUCUCCCACCUAAAACACUAUUUUUGAAGAGUUCAGAUCCGACCAACCUUCUCUUAGUUGCAUAUAAGUCCAAUUCAAGCCCAUUUUUAGUAAAUUUUAUGUUUUUGAGAUUAUUGUAGCUUAAUCUAACUAACCCAGGGACUAUUUUAUAAAACUGUUAAAGGUUUUAAAAGUUACCAUUAGUGAAGUAUUGAAUUUCUUGAUAUUUAAUGGUAGAUUUGUAAGCUUGGUUGUUAAAUGGGACUAAUUUGUAAAGUGAUUUUUGUUAGUUUUGAGUUUAGGGACCAAAAUGAGAAUAUGUCGAUUUUAGCAUAGUUUUUUUGUAAUUUUAAAUGCUUGAGAACUUUCUAGGUUUGUGUACGUAUGCGAAUUGAAUUUUGCGUGUUUAAUUGUGAAAGUUAUAAAUGUUUUGGUUUUAAAGACUAAAUUGAAUAAAUUGUAAAAGUUUAGAGAAAUAUUAUAAAUUGAAAUUAAUGGUUCACACGCAUAUAUUUGAAUAUGUUAAGGUAUUUGGAAUUGAUAUUUUGAACUUAAUUAUUAAUUAUAUCAAGCUUUGGAACAAUCGAUUGAUAAACGAGAAAAAGAAAAAGAAAAAUUACAGGAUAGUCCCUAGGAUUCAACUCGAUAGUUGAUCAUACUAGGUAAGUUCAUAGGGAAUAGAAAUGUGCUUAUAUUUAUUGUUUGUGAUUGAAUUGUGAAUAUAUAUGUAUACAUUGUUAGAUUGAAAUGUUAUAAAUUAAUACUAAGGUGAGAAUGGAUCUAAUUGAAAGUCUUGUAUACUUGUGAAACAUGAUUCAUGUGGAUACUGAAUGAAUGUUAUCUAGUUAUGAAAUGUGUUUUGGAUAAACAUGAAAGUGCUCCUGAUUGUAAAUGUUCAGAAUCUUGUAUAAAUGUUCAUUUGAACAUAGUAAAUGAUUAGGAUACAAUUGGCAUACUAAUAGGGUUAGAUGCAUGCUUAUUCUGCUAGCACUACGGUGCCCUGAUUGCACAUCCGUGCCCCUGAUUGCACUUUAGUUCCCUUGUAUGCACAUUUGUGCCUUGUUCAGCACUAUGGUGCUCCCUGAUAUAUUUACCCGAGUAUCCGAGUUAUUUUUUCUAUUGUUCAUUGGGGUACCCAAAUCUGUGAAUAAAUGGAAUAUAGAUGUUUUUAUGUUUGAUGAUGCUAUGUGAUCGUAAAAUCUUGAAUGACAUGAAUGAUGUUGAAUUACUUAGUGAAUUGUAUACAACGAACUCACUUGUUUUCUUGUGAAUUGAUAUUGUCAGGUUUAGUAUCAUAUUAAUUAAUUUAUUGCAUAUAUGUGAUUCAAGGUAAGCUUAUAAGUAGGUUUAAUCCCGUGAACUUACUAAGCUAUUAAAAGCUCACUCUGUUUUAUUUCUUGUUUUCUGUAGUUGAUAAUUUGUGGAACAAGGCUGUCGGAUCAACUUCAACGUUCACACUAUCAAGCUUCAGUCUCGGUAGAUUUUGAAUUGUUUUUACUUCAGUUAUGUGACAUGUAUAUAGGCUAUUUUGGAAUUAUGUUUUGAGCUUAAAGGUUGAUGUUGAAAAGUGUUCAUAAUGUUUGAUAUUUAAGGUUGAAUUUUAAUAUUUCUAUGGCAUACUUAUAAGGUAAAUGAUGAAUGUAUGUGUAGUAUAGGUUUGCUUUAUCUUGAAUCAUAAAAUGUAUGGAAAUGGUAAUGCUUGGAUGGAAUGUGUGGCAUAUGUGUUAAAUGAUAGUUGUAAGGUUUGAACUUAUUAGAUCAAGUUGGUUUUGUGUGAUAUGGUAAGUUUUGGCAUAUUGAAGGUUGUACGAUUGAGACCUAAAUGGUCAAGUUGGGUUUGUGAAUUGCUAAACUUAGGCAAAAUGAACUUUGUUGGUAUGUUUAUCAUGCUUUUAACAUGGUGAAUGUUUGAUAAUGUAUUAUCUUGGUUGUGAUAGUGCCAAAAUGGCAUAUUGGUUAGGUACUACUAGGAUGUUUUUAUGUUAUGUUUUGGCAUUGGUUUGAAAUGUAUUGAGCAAAGUUUCAAAGUGUUAUCAUAUGUUUUAAUUUAGUCCCUGUUCAACCUUGAACUUGUUUUAGAGCUUUUGUAAGCUCGAUUAAGACCCGGAUUAGGUUGUUAAUCAUAUUUUGCAUAGAUUAUGAAAUGAUAAAUUUAUUUUUAAAUUGAAAUUGCAUGUGAUGGUUUCUAUUUUCUGUGGUAGCAUUCUAUAGCUUGAGUCCGGUGACCGAGGCAGAUAUGGGAUGUUAAACAACAAAUUUUAAAAUCAUGAUCAAGGUUCAAAAUAUAAUAUUAUCAAGGUAAUGUAUCCAAGAAAUGUUCAAAUUAUAGAAAGGGAAAGUAUCCAAAGUCCUAACAAAACCAAAUUAUACAAUUACAAGUCAUGCACAUCAUCUAAGAUAGGUAAUGUAUCCAAGAAUGGUUCAAAAUAUAAUAUUAUCAAAGAAAGUUCAAAGAGGAAGUAUCCAAAGUCCUAACAAAACCUAAUUACAAGUCAUGCGUAUCAUUUAAGAUUAGUAACGUAAAGAAAAGUUCAAAAUAUAAUAUUACCAUGGAAAGUUCAAAGAUGAAGUACUCAAAGUUCUAACAAAACCUAAUUAUACAAAGCCCAAGAAACACAUUCUAUAUUAGGUUAGCAAGUAAUCUUUCAAUCAACAACCAUUCAAGUUUACAUACUUUACUACUUUGCAAGCAUUUUAAAAUUUUAAAAAUACUAAACACUUUAAAUGAUCAUGCAAAAUAUUUAUCAAAAUUGCACAUAAAGUUAAAAAUUGACAAGGUGUGUAUUGAUAUUGUUGGAAAAAUCCAAUUUAAAAAACAGUUUUUUGUUAUAACGAAAAAUUAAAAUUUUGAAAAUUGAGUCAGUUUGUAAUAUUUAUAGCAAUAAUUUUUUCCCAAAAAAUACCAGUACUUUGAGCGAAACGGAUCCUAGAUGUUCCUAUCUUUCAACUAAAUGACAUUCUCUACUAUUCUCGUACCACGAAUUACUUUGAGUGUGAGCUUGAAUAAUCGUAAACCAAACACAUAACCAUAAACGAUUUAUUACUUUCAGUUGGAAAGUAAUUCUCACUCAAUAGAAAUUGAUAGAAUUGUUAUUCCCAGAAAGUAGAAUUUAUACUUAGAAAAUAAAUUCUCACUUUUUUAUGGAAGAAUAACAAUAUUGAAAACUUGCAUGAACUGUUGUAAAUAGCUCUACCAAUGUCAUUUAUUUAUAGAAAGAGAUAGAAGAAUCCUGAUUGAAUUAGUAGAACACAAAUAAUACAUAUUUAAUAGAAAAAUUAGCCUUCUAGUUUAACUAGAAGAAAGGGGUGACACUCCCUAGUUAAAUACAUUAGGCAUGCCAACUAGGGAUGUCGUCCCUCAUAUGUAAUAUGAGGGGAGUUUAGGUCUCUCUUGUAUUGGGUCCAAUUAUUUGUGUUUCAUUGACUUUUAAUCUAGCACUUUAUAAUUUAACCCAACUCGAUACAUGUUUUUCUAUUUCCAAUAAUAAAUAUUAUUUAUAAAUUAAUUUAAUCAGAUAAAUUAUUUUUUCAAUUAAAUAAUUUUCUUAACCCAAUUCUAAUACCGUUAAAGUCAUGUCAACUUUUAUGAGAAAAUAUAUUUAAUUUUCAUAUUCAACAGAUUCACAAUGACUAAUAAUUUAAUUACAUUUUCGAACUUCAAUUAUUUAAUUAAAUAAAAUUUCAAAAAACUUAAAUCAAUUCUCAAGUCAUUUUUAUACUUAAUGGGAAAACAUAUUCAUUUCCGAAUGUAGCUCAUUUCUCUAGCUUUACCAUUUCCAUCCAUUUCUGUUCAUUUGAUUCUUUUUGCACUUUAUUUCGAGUUUCAAUGAGCUAUGACUAAGCUCUCUAUAAUUACAUACCAUUACGAAAGCUACUCAACUAGUGCUCGUCCAAUGACCUUGUCAUAAGUGUGUUACCCUCAUAGGAUAUCCUUAAUCUUUUUUGGAUAAAUUCGCUCUUCCAAUAUGAUCCUAUUUUAUCUCAUGGUAACCAUUACAUCUUCCUUCAUGAAAAGUCAAUUACUAUCAAAUAGUAAUUAUGUCAUUUAUCAUAAAGACAAACGACCUGUGAUCACUUUUACUUUUCAUCUAUCAUGUAAUGCCAAUGAGAGGAUAUCAUUUACGUAUUUAUUGAGUUAUGAAUUCCACUAUUGUGAAUGAUGCUACAUAUUGCAGAAGUCGCAUACCCAACACACUAGCUUUUGGUUCCUUAUUUAUUUGAACUUAGACUUUUACUUACAUCAAAGUAUAUGAGCCGUACAUACAUAGUUCAUCAUCCAUUUAGAAUUAAGGUAUAUCACACUAUCAAUGUCACAAAUGAAUAAAUUCAUAAACGGAUUUAGGAUCUAUUUUACUUGGGUCAUGCUCGAUGUACUAUCAGUUUAGUCAGUCACAUCUAUGUCUCUAUCUUAUGGAGUUAUUCGCUCCGAUGUUCAAGACAAAGCAUCUUCCCAAAUGGACUUGAUAGAUGACAUAUUAGUCUUUCAAUCGGUUUGCACAUUUUCAAUUAGACUAAAGACAUGUUUAGGUUCAUUUACUAACAUAAGUUGUCUUUCUUUAUUACGAUUUGACCACGUAAUACUGCUUGGUAUUAGUUAAAUGUUAGAUAACUAGUAAGCCAAUAUUUGCUUUCAUUUUGUUUUGCAUGCAAAAACCAUUGAGGACAAUAUACAAUGAUAUUAAUGUAAUUUUUGGAUGUUUUUAUUAAACCAAUUUGUUCAAAAAUACAAGUAUACAAAACGAAUAUACUACACUUAAGGAACCAUAUCCAGUAUAUAUUUUCCUAACUCGGCCAUUUUGAUCAAAAUAUCAUCCCAAUGUUUUAACAAGGUUUUUUUUUCAAAAAACAAAGAAAGAAAAAGAAAACAAAUGAAAACAAAACAUAAAAUGGGUGUCAAGAUUACUCCUUAUCUGUCAUUUCAACCUAAGACGAUGCAAUUCAAUAAUGCUAUUCAUUCUUUCCUUGCAUUCGACUCUAAAAAGAAGAGAUAAAAAAGAAAAAAGAAAAUUAAGGAUAUGCAUUCUAAUAAGGUGUAGUAGCCCUUUUUUUACUCUGUCACAUUGUUUACAAUAAUAACCAGUAGUGAUUUUUUUAAACUAAACUUGGAAUUUUCACAAAGUAUCCCUUACUCCCAUCAAUUUAGUACAUUGUCUUCAAUACCAAAAUUAUGAGUGAAGCAUAAAUUACUAGAAUAAAACACAACAUAUAUAUAUAUAUUAUCAUUCACUUUACUCAAGGCCUACCACAACUUAAAUAUCACGCAUUAACCCAUUUAAAUGUAUCAAUAUAAUUAAACAUGCUAAAUUUAAGAUUUAUCAACAAAAUAUCAAAAUAAGUGGAAAUAUCUACUCUUCCACUUCAAUUUACAAACUUGUCAUCUCCUUGCUUAUAAUCUCCCUCUCAACUACUUCUUCUUUAACACGUAUAUAAAAUACCCAUUUAAUAAAGGUGAUAAAUACCCACUAAUAUGGCUUAGCUGCUUAACAAAUUUUUAUAACCUUAAAAGCAUGCAUGAAUAAGAAAAAUGUGACGUAUGCUCUUACCUCUUCUAAGCCUUGUUCACUCGAACAAAAUUUCCCGCAUAGAAAUACAAACCCUAGACAGUGGAUGAUGGAAAUGGUCAAGAGAAUGCUUCAAAUGGAGUGUUUUUAGGGUGAGUUUCAAGAGAAGAGGAUGAACUAUGGCGAAGUACUGAAUAGAUUGAAGAGGAAAAAUAAAAAAGAGGAAGGAAUAUGGCUUUCUUCUCUUGUUCUCUAAGGGUGUUGACCCUAUCAAGGAAAAUAGGGUACUCAACCCCUUUCCUUGGCUUUUUCGAAUUUAAAAUUACAAUUAGAUGAUCAUAAUGACGGAUUGUGAGACUAAAAAAAUUUUAAAAGUUUAAUUAAAAUUUUUGAGAUUAAUGAAGAUUUUCAAAAAUUUGAGGAGUUUAAUUAAAAUUUUCUAAAAUUUCAAGGAAAUUAAUAUUAAAGAUAUAAUUAAAAUUUUC